RNAcentral lists this ribosomal RNA (301 nucleotides) under uncultured bacterium. RNAcentral's name for it is "partial 16S ribosomal RNA". It matches the Rfam family "Bacterial small subunit ribosomal RNA", at positions 509 to 807 of the family's 1533-position model. The record is from RNAcentral.
CAGCCGCCGCGGGAAUACGGAGGGUGCAAGCGUUAAUCGGAAUUACUGGGCGUAAAGCGCACGCAGGCGGUCUGACAAGUCAGAUGUGAAAUCCCCGGGCUUAACCUGGGAACUGCAUUUGAAACUGUCAGGCUGGAGUCUUGUAGAGGGGGGUAGAAUUCCAGGUGUAGCGGUGAAAUGCGUAGAGAUCUGGAGGAAUACCGGUGGCGAAGGCGGCCCCCUGGACAAAGACUGACGCUCAGGUGCGAAAGCGUGGGGAGCAAACAGGAUUAGAUACCCGCGUAGUCCCUGUCUCUUAUAC